This 497-nucleotide ribosomal RNA is filed under the name uncultured bacterium. RNAcentral describes it as "partial 16S ribosomal RNA". It matches the Rfam family "Bacterial small subunit ribosomal RNA", at positions 28 to 507 of the family's 1533-position model. The record is from RNAcentral.
GAUGAACGCUGGCGGCGCGCCUAAUACAUGCAAGUCGAGCGAACAGAUAAGGAGCUUGCUCCUUUGACGUUAGCGGCGGACGGGUGAGUAACACGUGGAUAACCUACCUAUAAGACUGGGAUAACUUCGGGAAACCGGAGCUAAUACCGGAUAACAUAUUGAACCGCAUGGUUCAAUAGUGAAAGGCGGCUUUGCUGUCACUUAUAGAUGGAUCCGCGCCGUAUUAGCUAGUUGGUAAGGUAACGGCUUACCAAGGCAACGAUACGUAGCCGACCUGAGAGGGUGAUCGGCCACACUGGAACUGAGACACGGUCCAGACUCCCACGGGAGGCAGCAGUAGGGAAUCUUCCGCAAUGGGCGAAAGCCUGACGGAGCAACGCCGCGUGAGUGAUGAAGGUCUUCGGAUCGUAAAACUCUGUUAUCAGGGAAGAACAAAUGUGUAAGUAACUGUGCACAUCUUGACGGUACCUGAUCAGAAAGCCACGGCUAACUACGUG